Molecule: non-coding RNA, 80 nt
Organism: Tersicoccus sp. Bi-70
Lineage: Bacteria; Bacillati; Actinomycetota; Actinomycetes; Micrococcales; Micrococcaceae
Source: Rfam
UGCGGUCCUCGGUAGUGAUCUCCGGGCGCCUCGUCCUCUGCGACGCGGAACCGCCCCGGGGAUCUCGAUCGAAGACCGGU